This 429-nucleotide ribosomal RNA is filed under the name Chloroflexota bacterium. RNAcentral describes it as "Chloroflexi bacterium partial 16S ribosomal RNA". It matches the Rfam family "Bacterial small subunit ribosomal RNA", at positions 355 to 776 of the family's 1533-position model. The record is from RNAcentral. Lineage: Bacteria; Bacillati; Chloroflexota.
UGGGGAAUAUUGCACAAUGGGCGCAAGCCUGAUGCAGCCAUGCCGCGUGUGUGAAGAAGGCCUUCGGGUUGUAAAGCACUUUCAGCGGGGAGGAAGGCGGUGAGGUUAAUAACCCCACCGAUUGACGUUACCCGCAGAAGAAGCACCGGCUAACUCCGUGCCAGCAGCCGCGGUAAUACGGAGGGUGCAAGCGUUAAUCGGAAUUACUGGGCGUAAAGCGCACGCAGGCGGUCUGUCAAGUCGGAUGUGAAAUCCCCGGGCUCAACCUGGGAACUGCAUUUGAAACUGGCAGGCUAGAGUCUUGGAGAGGGGGGUAGAAUUCCGGGUGUAGCGGUGAAAUGCGUAGAGAUCUGGAGGAAUACCGGUGGCGAAGGCGGCCCCCUGGACAAAGACUGACGCUCAGGUGCGAAAGCGUGGGGAGCAAACAGG